Molecule: long non-coding RNA, 3617 nt
Filed under: Nicotiana benthamiana
Lineage: Eukaryota; Viridiplantae; Streptophyta; Magnoliopsida; Solanales; Solanaceae
Description: long non-coding RNA (NBEN_LNC023682)
Source: RNAcentral
AGGAACAAGAACAAAAAACUUCAAACGGACUAGGGGAAGGCCAAAAUACGCAGCUACCUACCGUAGCUUUCUUCUUCAUUUUGAAGAAGAGAUACACAGCCAUAAUCACGUCAACAGCCCCUCCACAUCGCCUCCGUCGUCCCCAAACAGUCUGCGACCAUACUGUUCAGUCCGCCAGCCCCACUUCAUAACCAGUUGUCAACCACCAGAAUAACCAGUCCCCAUCGUCCCAAGCCCACGACCAAACUGCCCAGUCCCCGUCGUCUUCCUCUCCUGAGCAGCCCGCCUGCUUCAACUCACGGUCGCAACCAGCCAGUAGCCCCCGCGCCAUAACCAACCUCCACGACGCAUCCGUUCAACCACUGUCCAGCUCCGUCGAUAGCCCAACCACCUUCACGUCCAAACGACCACCCAGUCCCCUCACGUUCAAACGCACACUCUGCUGCUCUCUUCAUCUCCUCCUCCAGCAGUCCGACGGAGAACAAAACCCCGAGCAGAUUGCGUUCGAGUUAGAAAGAUUUCCGUUGAGGUCAUCGUUGUUCGUCGAGGUUCGGUGCGUCGAGGUCAGUGUCGAGUUUCAAAUUAAUGCAAAGGUCCACGCUUUGACUCUUAUUUUCGAUUCUUCUGUUUCUUUAACAAUUAUCAAUUGGCAAACUUGAUUCUUGAUACUUUAAUGUUUGAAUUUGCAUUUUUACUGAAGGUUGUCCCUACUUACUACUCUAGCAACUUAUGUGAUUGUUUGUUGGUAUGUUUCUGUUGAUUUUCCAUGGUUUGAAGCUCAUGUUUGCUGCUUAUCUUAAUUAGUAUUGGGAAUCUAAUGUGCUCAUUAUUUUUGACUUGGACUAUCUCGCGAACCAAUUUAAGGAGGAAAAUGAACUGAUUAGUUGAGUUGAAUUGAAAAGGCCAUGCAAUAAAAAAAAUUGAAAGAAAACAGACAUGCUAUCAUCAUAAAUUAGUCUAUCACCGUGAUUGUGUACACAUUCGCGUCAUGUAAAUACGUUUCUUUAAGGAUAGAUUGAGACGAGCCUCGCCAAAAUAAAAAAUGCAUAAAUUUGCGGGGCCCUCAUAAUUGUUUAUAUUAAAAAUACUUAUACUCUGUGAUGUGCCGUUUAGCUAAUUGAACGGCCUUCCCCAAAAUAAUAACGCGUUACACUCUUUAGGCGCGUAUUUUAAUAACAUUACCUUCUUAAACCCGGAUGUACAUUGAUGUGACCCAAAUCCAAAUCUCGACGAAGUCGAAAUAUGUUGACGACCACGGGUCUCUUGAUGGUGACGUGGUCAGAGACGUGUUUUCACGACGUCGCAAGUCUUUAUUAAAUAAAUAAUGAUAAAAGCGGUAUAUAAAUAAAAGGCACAUAAGCUAGCAUGUAUUAGAAUCAGAUAAAAUCAAAUACAACAGUUAAGCGACUGUGCUAGAACCACGUAACCCGGGAAUGCCUAACACCUUCUCUCCGGUUAACAGAAUUCUUUAUCCGGAUUUCUGGUUCGCGGACUGUGAACAGAAUCAUCUUUUUCCUCGAUUCGGGAUUCAAUCAGUGACUUGGGACACCAUUAAUCUCCCAAGUGGCUACUCUGAAUAGAUAAUAAUAAAAUCUCGUUCUGGUUGUCCAUUAUUCGGAAAAUCUCUUUUAUGCUCCGUUGGGGGGGUGUAUAGCGAAAAAAAGAGGUGUGACACCCGCACGUGAAUAGUAACCGCGCGGGUGAACAAUGAAUAGUGACCCACGCGCAUGAACAGUACCGAAUUUCUGGACAGAUUUAAUUAAGAGCAGUCCGAGUUUGGUCAUCUUUUUUUUACUUCCAAGCUUGGAUUUUGGGUGAUUUUUAGCAAGAAAUCUUGGAAAUCUUGAGAUAAGUCACUUGUGAUUAUUUCUACUCCAUAAUAUUGAAUUAUCAUCGAAUAAUUCGACUAGAUUACAUGUUUUUGAGGAGUAAAUUGAGGAUUUAAGCCUAGGGAUUUGAAAAUAAGAUUUGAAGGGGUCAUUUGAACUCCGAUUUUGGUAAAUUUUAUAUGUAGGGGCUCGUGGUGAGACGAGGAGUCCGGUGGUGUGACUUUCGUAAUUUUUCGAGAAGUGGGCUCGGGGCUCGGGUUUUGCGAAUUUUGUGAAUUUCGAUAUUUUUUGAGUCUUUUCGAUUGGGUUAUAUUCCCUUAGCCUAUUGUAAUGUAUUCGUUUUGGUUUUGACCAGAUUCGAUGCGUGAAGAGGUAAAUUCGAGAUUCAAGUGCAUAGCGGAGUAGACGUUGGACCGUCUUGAGGUGGGUGAUGAUUUUAAAUGAUGCAUUGAGGGUUUGUAAACCCAAAUUGCAUAACAUAUUGCUAUGCUGAGAUGAGACACGCAUUGUAUGACGAAUGCGGGGUCAUUUACUAUUGGGGAUUGUGACAUGGUCAAUCCCGGUUGAUAUUUUACUGCGUAUUUAAUAAAGAUUUAUUGUUUUAUACCAUGAUUUGGGCUUAUUGCCAUAUUUGGUCUUCGUGCCAAAAUUUUGAAAUAUUUUGUGAAUUACAUCACCAUUUUCCUCACCAAUUGAAAAUUUGCACUCAGUCCAAUGGAAUUAUAUUAUUUUGUAAACUCAGCUACAUUUAUACUCAACUCGUGUUUAAAUGAUAUUUAUAAUAUUGAUGAGCUGAGCACUAUUGUUUUACUGAUGCCCAAGAGGCUUAUGAUUAUUUUCUGGACUAAUUGACGCCAAGGGCCAUCUGUGAGGAUAUGUUGAGUGAUGUGAGGAGGUUUUCAGGCCUCGAGUGUUAUGUGAGGAGGCUUUCAGGCCUCGUGUGUAAUGUGUGAAGGCUUCUAGGCCUAUUGAUAUUGCGCCUGGGCUGUAAGAGCCCCUCCAGUGUCUGUACACACCCCUAGUGAGCGCAGGGUACCCAUGUGAGGUGGGAGUAGGCCCGAGAGGCCGUUGUUUGUGUGUUGGUGAGUUGGGAGUGAGCCCGAGGGGCUGAUGUUGUGUGCUGGUGAGUUGGGAGUGAGCCCGUGGGGCUGAUGUUGUGUGCUGGUGAGUUGGGGUGAGCCCGUGGGGCUGAUACUGUACUGUGAGUUUGAUAUUGAGCCUGAGGGGCAAGCUUUGAUUAUUCUUCACUGUUGAAAUUAAUUGUCUUUACUGUUUUAAAAGGAGAAUUAUCCGAUACUCAUUGUUUUACUGCAUAACUGAUUUUAUUGCUUGAGAUAGCGCUAUAUUGUGCCUUUAUGAGAUUUCAUGCAUUCAGUUCUUAUUUAUUUUUAUUACUCACUGGGUCGGAGUACUCACAUUACUCCCUGCACCAUGUGUGCAGAUACAGGCAGAGCUGAGUUCGCUCAUGAGCGCUGAUUCUUUCUAGACCAGGCGGUGACCACGAGUAACGAGGUAGCUGUUGACGCCCGCAGCCCCGUUUUCUUCCUUAUCUUUGUUAUUAUGAUAUUUCCAUACUUGUAAAAUAUUAGUAAAUUUUGUAGUAGCUCAUGACUUGUGACACCCCGACUUCGGGCUGACUCGGGAUGGAUUUUGUUGUACUGUCAUGCUUAUUUCGUUUUGUGAUUAUGUUAUCUAUUAAUUAAUCUUAUACCUACUAAGAAAUUAUAAAGAUAUGUAAUGUUUGUUAUUGGAUGACCUUGUCUUCACGAGAGGCGCCAUCACGAUCGG